MicroRNA precursor from Oryza sativa Japonica Group (Japanese rice), 206 nucleotides. It matches the Rfam family "MIR812 microRNA precursor family". NCBI's taxonomy places the organism in Eukaryota, Viridiplantae, Streptophyta, Magnoliopsida, Poales, Poaceae. The record is from Rfam.
AAAAAGACAAAUCAUGUGUUUCCGUGUCCAACUUUAACUGUCUGUCUUAUAUGAAAUUUUUUUAUAAUUCGUAUUUUUAUUAUUGUUAGAUGAUAAAACAUGAUUAAUACUUUGUGCGUGACUUGUCUUUUUAAUUUUUUUUAUAUUUUUUUAAAACAAGACGGACGGUCAAACGUUAGACACGAAAACCAGGGUUUGCCUUUUUA